UUAAGCGACUAAGCGUACACGGUGGAUGCCCUGGCAGUCAGAGGCGAUGAAGGACGUGCUAAUCUGCGAAAAGCGCCGGCGAGGUGAUAUGAACCUUUGACCCGGCGAUGUCCGAAUGGGGAAACCCAGUGCAAUUCGUUGCACUAUCGUUAACUGAAUACAUAGGUUAACGAGGCGAACCGGGGGAACUGAAACAUCUAAGUACCCCGAGGAAAAGAAAUCAACCGAGAUUCCCCCAGUAGCGGCGAGCGAACGGGGAGCAGCCCAGAGUCUGAAUCAGCUUGUGUGUUAGUGGAAGCGUCUGGAAAGUCGCACGGUACAGGGUGACAGUCCCGUACACGAAAGCACACAGGCUGUGAACUCGAAGAGUAGGGCGGGACACGUGGUAUCCUGUCUGAAUAUGGGGGGACCAUCCUCCAAGGCUAAAUACUCCUGACUGACCGAUAGUGAACCAGUACCGUGAGGGAAAGGCGAAAAGAACCCCGGCGAGGGGAGUGAAAAAGAACCUGAAACCGUGUACGUACAAGCAGUGGGAGCACCUUCGUGGUGUGACUGCGUACCUUUUGUAUAAUGGGUCAGCGACUUAUAUUCUGUAGCAAGGUUAACCGUAUAGGGGAGCCGAAGGGAAACCGAGUCUUAACUGGGCGUUAAGUUGCAGGGUAUAGACCCGAAACCCGGUGAUCUAGCCAUGGGCAGGUUGAAGGUUGGGUAACACUAACUGGAGGACCGAACCGACUAAUGUUGAAAAAUUAGCGGAUGACUUGUGGCUGGGGGUGAAAGGCCAAUCAAACCGGGAGAUAGCUGGUUCUCCCCGAAAGCUAUUUAGGUAGCGCCUCGUGAACUCAUCUUCGGGGGUAGAGCACUGUUUCGGCUAGGGGGCCAUCCCGGCUUACCAACCCGAUGCAAACUACGAAUACCGAAGAAUGUUAUCACGGGAGACACACGGCGGGUGCUAACGUCCGUCGUGAAGAGGGAAACAACCCAGACCGCCAGCUAAGGUCCCAAAGUCAUGGUUAAGUGGGAAACGAUGUGGGAAGGCACAGACAGCCAGGAUGUUGGCUUAGAAGCAGCCAUCAUUUAAAGAAAGCGUAAUAGCUCACUGGUCGAGUCGGCCUGCGCGGAAGAUGUAACGGGGCUAAACCAUGCACCGAAGCUGCGGCAGCGACGCGUAUGCGUUGUUGGGUAGGGGAGCGUUCUGUAAGCCGUUGAAGGUGUGCUGUGAGGCAUGCUGGAGGUAUCAGAAGUGCGAAUGCUGACAUAAGUAACGAUAAAGCGGGUGAAAAGCCCGCUCGCCGGAAGACCAAGGGUUCCUGUCCAACGUUAAUCGGGGCAGGGUGAGUCGACCCCUAAGGCGAGGCCGAAAGGCGUAGUCGAUGGGAAACAGGUUAAUAUUCCUGUACUUGGUGUUACUGCGAAGGGGGGACGGAGAAGGCUAUGUUAGCCGGGCGACGGUUGUCCCGGUUUAAGCAUGUAGGCGGAGGUUCCAGGUAAAUCCGGUACCUUUUAACGCUGAGGUGUGAUGACGAGGCACUACGGUGCUGAAGUAACAAAUGCCCUGCUUCCAGGAAAAGCCUCUAAGCAUCAGGUAACACGAAAUCGUACCCCAAACCGACACAGGUGGUCAGGUAGAGAAUACCAAGGCGCUUGAGAGAACUCGGGUGAAGGAACUAGGCAAAAUGGUGCCGUAACUUCGGGAGAAGGCACGCUGAUAUGUAGGUGAAGCCCCUGCGGGUGGAGCUGAAAUCAGUCGAAGAUACCAGCUGGCUGCAACUGUUUAUUAAAAACACAGCACUGUGCAAACACGAAAGUGGACGUAUACGGUGUGACGCCUGCCCGGUGCCGGAAGGUUAAUUGAUGGGGUUAGCGGCAACGCGAAGCUCUUGAUCGAAGCCCCGGUAAACGGCGGCCGUAACUAUAACGGUCCUAAGGUAGCGAAAUUCCUUGUCGGGUAAGUUCCGACCUGCACGAAUGGCGUAAUGAUGGCCAGGCUGUCUCCACCCGAGACUCAGUGAAAUUGAACUCGCUGUGAAGAUGCAGUGUACCCGCGGCAAGACGGAAAGACCCCGUGAACCUUUACUAUAGCUUGACACUGAACACUGGUCCUUGAUGUGUAGGAUAGGUGGGAGGCUUUGAAGCGUGGACGCCAGUCUGCGUGGAGCCGUCCUUGAAAUACCACCCUUUAAUGGCUGGUGUUCUAACGUAGACCCGUAAUCCGGGUUGCGGACAGUGUCUGGUGGGUAGUUUGACUGGGGCGGUCUCCUCCCAAAGAGUAACGGAGGAGCACGAAGGUUAGCUAAUCCUGGUCGGACAUCAGGAGGUUAGUGCAAUGGCAUAAGCUAGCUUGACUGCGAGAGUGACGGCUCGAGCAGGUGCGAAAGCAGGUCAUAGUGAUCCGGUGGUUCUGAAUGGAAGGGCCAUCGCUCAACGGAUAAAAGGUACUCCGGGGAUAACAGGCUGAUACCGCCCAAGAGUUCAUAUCGACGGCGGUGUUUGGCACCUCGAUGUCGGCUCAUCACAUCCUGGGGCUGAAGUAGGUCCCAAGGGUAUGGCUGUUCGCCAUUUAAAGUGGUACGCGAGCUGGGUUUAGAACGUCGUGAGACAGUUCGGUCCCUAUCUGCCGUGGGCGCUGGAGAAUUGAGGGGGGCUGCUCCUAGUACGAGAGGACCGGAGUGGACGCAUCACUGGUGUUCGGGUUGUCAUGCCAAUGGCACUGCCCGGUAGCUAAAUGCGGAAAAGAUAAGUGCUGAAAGCAUCUAAGCACGAAACUUGCCCCGAGAUGAGUUCUCCCUGACCCUUUAAGGGUCCUGAAGGAACGUUGAAGACGACGACGUUGAUAGGUCGGGUGUGUAAGCGCAGCGAUGCGUUGAGCUAACCGAUACUAAUGAACCGUGAGGCUUAACCUU
RNAcentral lists this ribosomal RNA (2903 nucleotides) under Enterobacter cloacae. Its description in RNAcentral is "bacterial LSU rRNA". It matches the Rfam family "Bacterial large subunit ribosomal RNA". Lineage: Bacteria; Pseudomonadati; Pseudomonadota; Gammaproteobacteria; Enterobacterales; Enterobacteriaceae. The record is from RNAcentral.